CACUGGUCGAGAGCUAGUGCCGCUCUCCUGAUGAGUCCAAGGCAGUCCAAGGCAGGACGAAACCAGUG
This 68-nucleotide non-coding RNA is filed under the name Helianthus annuus (common sunflower). The record is from RNAcentral. Lineage: Eukaryota; Viridiplantae; Streptophyta; Magnoliopsida; Asterales; Asteraceae.